Molecule: ribosomal RNA, 483 nt
Filed under: uncultured bacterium
Lineage: Bacteria
Description: partial 16S ribosomal RNA
Rfam family: Bacterial small subunit ribosomal RNA
Source: RNAcentral
GACGAACGCUGGCGGCGUGCUUAACACAUGCCAGUCGAACGCUGAAGCUCAGCUUUUGUUGGGUGGAUGAGUGGCGAACGGGUGAGUAACACGUGAGUAACCUGCCUCCUUCUUUGGGAUAACGCCCGGAAACGGGUGCUAAUACUGGAUAUUCACUGGUCUUCGCAUGGGGGUUGGUGGAAAGGGUUUUUCUGGUGGGGGAUGGGCCCGCGGCCUAUCAGCUUGUUGGUGGGGUGGUGGCCUACCAAGGCUUUGACGGGUAGCCGGCCGGGGAGGGUGACCGGUCACAUUGGGACUGAGAUACGGCCCAUACUCCUACGGGAGGCAGCAGUGGGGAAUAUUGUACAAUGGGCGCAAGCCUGAUGCAGCGACGCCGCGUGAGGGAUGGAGGCCGUCGGGUUGUGAACCUCUUUCGCUAAUGGUCAAGCCGCAACAAUGGUUGUGGUGAGGGUAGUGGGUAAAGAAGCGCCGGCUAACUACGUG